RNAcentral lists this ribosomal RNA (433 nucleotides) under uncultured bacterium. RNAcentral's name for it is "partial 16S ribosomal RNA". It matches the Rfam family "Bacterial small subunit ribosomal RNA", at positions 29 to 507 of the family's 1533-position model. The record is from RNAcentral.
AACGAACGCUGGCGGCAUGCCUAACACAUGCAAGUCGAACGAUACCUUCGGGUCUAGUGGCGAACGGGUGCGUAACGCCUUGGGACCUGCCCUUAGGUUCGGAAUAACUCCCCGCAAGGGGUGCUAAUACCGGAUAAUCUCUUCGGACCAAAGAUUUAUCGCCUUUGGAUGGGCCCGCGUUGGAUUAGCUAGUUGGUAGGGUAAAAGCCUACCAAGGCGACGAUCCAUAGCUGGUCUGAGAGGAUGAUCAGCCACACUGGGACUGAGACACGGCCCAGACUCCUACGGGAGGCAGCAGGGGGGAAUAUUGGACCAUGGGCGAAAGCCUGAUCCAGCAAUGCCGCGUAAGUGAUGAAGGCGUUAGGGUUGUAAAGCUCUUUUACCCGGGACGAUAAUGACAGUACCGGGAGAAUAAGCUCCGGCUAACUCCGUG